GUGAGUUUGAGGCCAGCCUGGUGUACAGAGUGAGUUCCAGAACAGCCAGGGCUACACAGAGAACCCUGUCUGGGAAAAAAAAAGAAUGUGCUGGAUGGUGGUGGUGCAUGCUUUUAAUCCCAGCCCUUGGGAGGCAGAAGCAGGUGGAUCUAUGAGUUGGAGGCCAGCUUGGUCUACAGAGCAAGUUCCAGGAUGGUCAGGGCUACACAGAGAAACCCAAUUUCAAAAAAAAAAAAAAAACAAAAACAAAAAAACAGUGUUGUGGGUAUGCUGAGAAGCCAAAGGCCUUUGGAGCUGGAGCCAGAUUUGGGUGCUGGAAGUCAAACUCAGGGCCUAUGGAGGAUUGGUAAGCACUCUUAACUGCUGAGUCAUUUCUCUAGCCCCCUAAAAUAAUAAAAAAGAAAAACAGAGGUGGUGACUGCCUUAAAUCCAGCACUUAGGAGGUGAGCAUGAGACCAGCUUGGGCUACAGGCCAGAUAUUAUAGUAAGACCCUGUCUAGAAAAUAAUACUUCUAAUUUAAAAGAAGGGAAGAAGGGCUGGAGAGAGAGCUCAGUAGUAGGAUGCUUGCCUGGCAUGUAACACAAAUACAAUUAAAAAUUCCAUUUCCCUCUGAGGAAGCAGCCUGGGAGACUUGUCUGUGUCGGGAAGCUCCACCCUCCCUCCACUAACUGACAGUCCCAGAUUCCCAUUAAAAGCCUAGCCUGAGGAUACAAAGUGGUAUAUGUGGUAGGGGCGGGGCUCUGGCCCAUAGCAGGCCUGGGAUGAACCAGGGUGGCCUGGGGAGAGGGACAGGUUUAGGGCCUGUGGAGUCAGGUUAGUGCAGAGGUCUGCUUCCAGAAGAGAAAAGGCCAGGAGACUCCCAGUGACCUAGAAAGGAACCAUAGCUCAGGAGCCCGUUUGGUUAGAACUCAAAGUGGCCCUGAGGCAGUGGCUAGGUUAUAAAAGCUGCAGGUACCUACUGAAUCCUAACCUGAGUGAGGAAGGCCAUCAGAGACAUCCUUAAACCCCCUAAGCCUCCAGGACCGUUGGUCCAAGCAGCAGCUGCCACUGCCACUGUUCCCAUGAUGGCGUUUAUUCUUGAUCAGGCCUCAGAAGCUGUUGGAAGGCGGCCAACUAAAACAGAAUCAAAAGGCAAAGAACCAAGUGAGUUCAGUUCCAGAACCAUGUUGGGUGGCUCCUAACCACUUAAAAGUCCAGCUCCAGAGACACUUGGUGCCCUCCACUGGCAUCACUGGACUCAAUGAAGCUGGAGUUACAAGUAGUAUCAAUCACCCACGGUCGGUCCUGGGAACCGAACACAGGAGCAAGCAAGCACUUUUACCUGCUGUGUCAUCUCUCCAGUCUUCCCGAGGAACUCAGUUUGGAGCUCACAGAUUCCUGUCACUCACACAUCAGGGGAUCUGACACCCAGAAAAUCAAAUCAUAUCCUUUCUCUGUAUUUAUUUGCUCUCUCUCUGUUUUUUUUUUAAGAUUUAUUUAUUAUGUAUACAGUGUUCUGUCUGCAUGUAUGCCUGCUGGCCAGAAGAGGGCACCAGAUCUCAUUACAGAUGGUUGUGAGCCACCAUGUGAUUGCUGGGAAUUGAACUCGGGCACCCCUGGAAGAGCAGUCAGUGCUCUUAACCUCUGAGCCAUCUCUCCAGCCCCCGUGUGUUUGUUUUUCCAGACAUGGUUUCUUGUGUAGUUUUGGAGUCUGUUUUUUUGUUGUUGUUGUUUGUUUGUUUUCGAGACAGGUUUUCUCUGUAUGUUUUGGAGCCUGUCCUGUAACUCCCUCUGUAGAUCAGGCCGGCCUGGAACUCACAGAGAUCCACCUGCCUCUGCCUCCCAGGCACUGGGAUUAAAGGCAUGCACCACCACCGACUGGCCCAAAUGAGACUCUUUACAGUGUUCUGCCUGCAUGUUUGCCUACAGGCCAGAAGAAGGCACCAGAUCUCAUUGCAGAUGGUUGUGAGCCACCAUGUGGUUGCUGGGAAUCGAACUCAGGACUUAUGGAAGAGCAGCCAGUGCUCUUAACCUCUGAGCCAUCUCUCCAGCCGGAAUUAACCUCGUAUAGAAUGAGGUGAACAAAUGAGAGUCUUAAUAUUUGUAAAUUUCUCAGAUAAGCUUGAGAAAAUGAACUAGUCAUUUGGUUAAGUCUAUUAAAUCAAGACAGC
This 2151-nucleotide long non-coding RNA is filed under the name Cricetulus griseus (Chinese hamster). RNAcentral's name for it is "lncRNA (ENSCGRG00015038005.1)". Lineage: Eukaryota; Metazoa; Chordata; Mammalia; Rodentia; Cricetidae. The record is from RNAcentral.